UGAUCAUCUCGGAUCAAUAACCCACCUCUGCAAAUAACAUCGUCCUUUUCACCGUGCUUUCAUCAGCGCCUGGCUAGCUCAACAACAUCUGCAUGGCUAACUAGUUAUCAUCUCACCCUCACUUUCGCUCUUUAAAAUCACCUCCUGAUCUCUUGUGGUGUGUAAAUGCAGCUCAAUCUUUGUCGGUCUCUCAGUAUUAACAGUAUUAAUAAUAAUUCAUCUUAAUCUCAACCUUUUACGUUACUCAAACAUCUCCUUUACCUUCAAGCCUUGAUUGCAAAGGCUCCCCUUUUGCGCCUGCCACCACCCGCUGCUGCUGCUGCCGCCGCCGCCGCCGCCUCCUCCUCAGCAGCACCUCCUCCUCCGGGAGCCGGUGUCUCUACUCUGCUGGACGAGCCCACAGACGAGGAGCUGCUGGAAGCCUCACAGGAGAUAGACCUUCUGCAGCCCUCGUCGUGGUUCAGCCUGCCGGGACACCGGCUCCCUCGCCUCCAGCCGCCCCCUUGACGCCGUCCGCACCCGUUGCCGUGGAGGAACGGGAGGAGUUGCCCGGUCCAGGCAACUCUGCCCGAGAUGCCCCCUCUGCCAUCCCCCGUCUGGCUGCUGACCGUGUACAGCUACGACGUCCUGGCGCGGCUGGAUGAGUACAAGGCCAGGAUCACGUCCACCUUCGGGUCAAUCAAAAAGAUGGACUCCACCAAGAAGGUGACAAAGAAGCUCGCGGGUAUCGCCUCCGACACGGCCGCCUGGGCUACCAACGUCGGCAAUGAGCACGGGCAGGUCCUCAUGAGCGUCCUCACCUCCACCGAGAGAGCGCCGGGGGCCUGUCCGGGAUGGCGGCCGGCUUGAUGAGGCGGUACCGACUCGCCGGGGUACCUCCCCCCCAGCUGAUCUACGUGGACCGCGACUGCUGCAACAGGGACGGCGUGUCAAAGACAGCUGUCUUGUUUCAGGAGUGGGAGCAUCUCGUGGUGAGACUGGACAUCUGGCACCUGAUGCGACGCUUCGCAUCAGGUGUCAACACCGAGAGCCACGAGCUGUACCCCACCUUCAUGAGGCAGCUGUCUAACUGCAUCUUUGAGGUGGACGCCGGAGAUGCACGCCGUCUCGCAGAGGCUAAGCGGUCCCAGCUGGAGGGGAAGCACGGGAUGGUUGGACUGACGGACGCCGCGGUGAACCAGAGGAUCUCCAAGGAGGAGUGGAGGCUCCACGUCCGCCGCAGGACACGGGGGCCUGAGGAAUCGGCCCUCCUCAUCCAGGAGCUCCUCGACACCUUCGGUGGACCGGCAGGACGCAACAACCUGGGCAUCCCGUUGCUCAACGCUCUCCGCAUCCAGGAAAUAUGGAGUACGCAGAGGACCCACCUCAGCUGCAUCCAGGACCCGCCAGGUGUGCAGCUGUACACCCAGACGGGCCGGCUGACCAAGGGAGGAGUCAGCCUGCCCGUAUAUCGCUGCGCGAGGGGCUCCACCUCUCUGGAGUCCUUCCACCUCCACCUUAACCGGUUCAUCCCAGGGACCCGGGCCAGCGCCAAGCACUUCCAGGCGUUCCUGGUGGAUGGACUGGUGAGGUGGAACGAGGACCGCGCAGCGGCAGCUGCACCACCACCGGCUGCAGUCGAGGGACGGCUGGGACCUCUGCACUCCUACAGUGGCCACCUCAAGCACGUCCUUAACCAGAAGAGCCAAAGAGUGCUUGGUCUUCAGAUGGUUAAGGACUUCACCGAGCCGGCUGAGUACACAGGGGAGCUCAUCGGAGUGGAGUACCUGUACCAGCAGACCGGCAAAGUGCUUGAGGACGUCAGCCUGGACCCUGACACUCCGGACGAGGCUCCUGCCAUCGAGGCGCUGGAGGAGGAUGAGGGCAUCGAGGAAGACGUAGAGGACCCUACCGUCUUCGGGC
Molecule: long non-coding RNA, 1902 nt
Organism: Gasterosteus aculeatus aculeatus (three-spined stickleback)
Lineage: Eukaryota; Metazoa; Chordata; Actinopteri; Perciformes; Gasterosteidae
Source: Ensembl